RNAcentral lists this non-coding RNA (24 nucleotides) under Rattus norvegicus (Norway rat). The record is from RNAcentral. Lineage: Eukaryota; Metazoa; Chordata; Mammalia; Rodentia; Muridae.
UGAAAAAGGGCUACACGAUACAAA